UGCCACACAAAAGUAACAAUGUUUUGUCAAUUUGUUGAAUCUUCCAUCAAAUAAUGUCAGUAAUUGAAACAUUUACUUUAUUGAGUAACACGGAACUGCUUAACUUUAUUGACCUCAUAUUUACUGGAUUAAAUGAUGAAAAGCCCAGCUUUCCGAAUUUUCAAUCUAAAGACGUUUGUAAGCUUUAAGCUUUGCACAAAAAAAAAAGCGAAUUUUUUAGGCGUUUCAAAAACGGUUACAACAAGUUCAACAUUUUUCGAAUUCAAAUAAGCUGACAACAAUUUUAGUAAAUGAAGACGAAAAUCAAUUUGAAAUUGGAUUGACCU
This is a long non-coding RNA of Drosophila sulfurigaster albostrigata, 326 nucleotides long. RefSeq lists it as uncharacterized. Lineage: Eukaryota; Metazoa; Arthropoda; Insecta; Diptera; Drosophilidae. The record is from RefSeq and is a predicted model, not a curated record. The transcript has 2 exons.